Eublepharis macularius is the source of this 8165-nucleotide long non-coding RNA. RefSeq lists it as uncharacterized. The record is from RefSeq and is a predicted model, not a curated record. Lineage: Eukaryota; Metazoa; Chordata; Lepidosauria; Squamata; Eublepharidae. The transcript is spliced from 4 exons.
AACAAGAUCUUCAGAAAAGCAAUCUUACAGAGCAUAUUUUUCCCUCUCUUAGGCAGCCAGUGUCUUCGGCAAGUUGUUAUCUAUGCCUAAAUGCUCAGAUGUGGCAUUCAAUAUCUACCCCCGCCUUCUGAUGACGCUGCUUGUUCAGGUGCACUAUAAUAUCAGGCACAAAGGAAUAAGGAACCCCAUUCCUCAGGCGGAAACUGAGCCUGUGUGGUAAAUAUAAGAGAGGCAAGAUUCUGAUGGUGGGGGCCAAAGGUCUUGGUAAUAUAUGAAGUGCUCCAUUGUCAUUAUAUGUUCCAUAUGUACAAUAUUCUCUUGAAUAAAGGACCACUCGCCCUCUGCCCUGCCAAAUAAUUGCUGAAAAUCAUUAUUAGGCUAGAGUUGUAAGGAUAAAAGAAAUAGUGAACUUUGUCAUGUGAGGUCAGUUCAAUAGCAGGACUCAAAACAAUAAUGCUUAACUUUCCUUAACACUUUUCUAAGUGCCCAUAGUUCCUCACAAAACUAUUUUGCUCAUUUCCCUCGAAGGAGCUCAGUGCAGCAUACAUGGUUUCCCUCUCUUCCAUUUUAUCCUCACAACAACUCUGUAAGGUAGGUUAGGCUGAAUGAGAGUGGCUCUCUCACUCAUGGCAGGGUCUGUAUGAACCUGGAUUCCCUAUUUCUGAUCCUCUAUACCACUGUGACACAUUGACCCUCCUUAUUUCAAUCCUGAAUUGCAUUAUUAUCCCCAUAUUGAAGAGUGUGGGUUGAGGCUGAAAGAGUGAUGGGUUGCCGAAGGCCUCCUUGUGAGUUUGUAACAGAGAUGAUUCUUGAAGUGGGGACUUUUAAACCUCAUAGCAGUUAUGCUAUGGCUACUUGCUGAUGUCUUUUUUUUUGUCUGAAUUCAGCUAUAUUGUGAAGACACUGAAAACACUUCUCCUAACUGUGGGAUGUUAUUGUGAGUUAAUUUUUUCUGAUAAGGAGGGGCUCUGGAAGCUACUCACCAGCUCUGAAGAUCACCAUCGGGGGGUAGGCAUGCUUGCAAGGUGAGUGGUAACAAGUUGUCCCACACAUUCCAGACAACCAAAAUGUGGGGUUAAUUAUAAACAAUAACAACAUGUAUGUGUGUGGUGUGCAUCCUCUCGUAACCAGAGUCUUGCUUCAUUGUCCCUGUUGUGACUGUCUGAGGAUCUUGUACCUUCUAGUUCCCUUCCUGGAACGAGGUGAUGAAAAGCACCAGAUCACUGCAAUGGCAUUCUUCGUUGAAGUAAGAUUCCUAGAAUCUCAUUCCCAGUUUCUAUGCAAGCCUUUCUAGGGACAUGGAUGGUUGGAUGAUCUUGACUCAAAGAGUGGUCUGCAAAUAUUGGAGGAAAUUCCUUUGCAAAUCUGUUGUGUGUUGUCAGUUAGUAGCUGUUAACUGCAGGUGUAAAAGGACUGGGAUUAAAUAGAUAUUAUACUUUUACAUCUGCAUCUGAAGAGAAGCUCAACCUUUUUGCAUUAGUUAGUAGAUAGGAAUGCAAAUAAAAAACCAAAAUUCCACCCAAGUUAUGUAAAUAAUACCUGAUCUAUUCAGUAAGUCAUAAGAACGUAAGAGCCCUGCUAGAUGAGGUCCAUCUAGUCCACCAUCCUGUCUCUCACAGUGGUAAACUAGUUAAUAUAGAGGACCAAUAACAGGACACAGGAGCUGAGGCUUUUCCUUGAUGUUGCCUCUUGGCACUGGUAUUCAGAAGUUUAUUGGCUCUGAGUGUGGAAGUUUCCUUUAGUCACCUAUGGCUAGUAACCACUGAUAGAGCUCCUCCAUGAAUCUGUCUUUUAAAAAGCUGUCUAUGCCUGUGGCCAUCACUACAACCUCUGGCAGCAAAUUCCACAUUUUAAUCACUCAUUGAGUAAUGAAAUGUUUCAUUUUGUCUGUCCUGAAUCUACUGCCCAUCAACUUCAUUGCAUGCCUGCAAGUUCUACUAUUGGGGAGGGGGAUUCUCUCUGUUCAUUCUCUCUAUCCCAUCAAUAGUUUUAUGCUCCCCUUAGUUAUCUCUUUUCUAAACUAAAGAAUCCCAGACUCUUCAGUCUCUCCUCAUAGGAAAGGAUAUCCAGCCUCCUAAUCAUCUUGGUUGCCCUCUUCCAUACCUUUUCCUACAAGGUCCUUUUAAACAUAUGGUGACCAGAAUAGCACACCAUAGCAUUUUAUGAUGAGGGUUUACCAGUGGCAUGCCCAUCUUACACACAAUUUUGAAAACACAUUUGCAGUGUCCAAUAUAUUCUCCAAACAAUCACAGAGAAACUUAAGUUACUUCCAGCUUUGUUGCUGCUUUUACCAUGUGUAUAAUCUGAAAGGACAAUCAAAUUGAUCAAGAAACUUCAACAACUUUUGCAUGUUCCAAAAUCAGUUCAGGCUUAAAUUAAAAGUACUUUUCUAAACCUUGUAUUAGAUCUUGAUUGAUCAUGGUCUUUGGUUUAAAAAAACAAAAAACAAAGAUAAUUUAGCUAGUUCUCUCCAUACAAUCACUGUGGAAAACAACUGCACAGAACAGGUUACCUGCAUCAAAAAGCAAAUAAUUAAAGAUAUUUAAAUAACAAAUGUAUCAAUGUUUAGAAAGAGACUAGCUUUUAAGCCUGGCUUUGUGAUAUCUGAAAGUAUCUUUUGAAUAAUUGAAGGAGGGGGGGACUGGUUAAACUAAGUUACGGUGACUUUGAUGGCUCUGGCCCUUUAUUACAGUAAUUUCCAUGGACCAGAUUGAGCAGUAACACACUGUACAGUUUCUGUAGCACAAAAGAUAAGCAAUAUAAAUUACCCUAAAGCCACUGGACUGGUUAAAUCUGUUCUACUGCAAGCUUUCUUACUAACAAGGACCAAGAAACAGAUUAGCAGAUAGGCCAAUUUGUUGUGACAUUUUAGGCACAAUUCAUAACUAAGUGCAAAAAGCAAGCAAAUGCAUUUUGACUACCUGAAUGGCAUCUGGGGGAUAUAUGUUCCUAGAAUCCAGGCAACUACUCACCAGUUUCCUUUAGUCACCUAUGGCUAGUAACCACUGAUAGAGCUCCUCCAUGACUCACCUAUUCUGUCUUUUAGCUUCUUUAUAUGUCAGAAGCCAAGAGACUUCCAGACAAAUAUUCCUUGAAUCGUCUGAAUCGAGGCUUGGUUAAUGGAAACCCAGUUAUCCGAGCAUUGUGUAUCAAGGGACUAGUUAAGAUAGCAGACUGGCCAGGGAAGGAGGUAAAAAUAUUAUUGCCAGCCAUGAUAAAAAGCCUGACUGGAAUGGAUGGCAGAUUGUAUGUCGAGACGGUUGCUGAAAUUGAGAAAAUCCUUGCAGACCCAGAAGGAGUAGACGAUGUAUUCGAUAUCAUUCUGUCUCUACAGGAGCUGUUCAAUAAUGAGAGAGAAAGUGUGCGUGCUUCUGCCAUAUUUCUUUUUGGCAAAAUGGUGAAAUUAACUAAGAAAAGCAACAAACUGAAGAUAAUACUAGAAAAUUUGGUCCCAUUACUUCUGCAUCACCAGGAAGAGAAUCCUGAUAUCACCGAGGCAAGUUCCUAUAGAUAUUCAUCUCUUAAUUUCCAGAGCAUCAUCAUGAUAAUCCACCAACCAGAUUUUUCAACCACAGUCCAGCCAUUUCUCCAUCUUCUGCCAUACGACACACACACCCACGCUUCUUUGUACAGUGAUACCACAAACCUAGCCCCUGUGAACAGCAAAUACAAGAAAAUCUGCAUUCUAUUCAGUAGCAGGAUGACAUGGCUUUCUGAACAAGGCAAACUCUCUAUUGCCCCAUCAUGUAUUUCAGAACUGUAAAUACACCUUAAACGAAUGCUGUCGAUUCCUUGGAUACAAACUACCAAAAGAAGUUGUCAUUGGUAAAGCAUGGCAUGAAAAUGAAGACAUUCUGGAUGAAACCUGCCGGUACCUUGUAUGUUGUCUAGUACAAAUUAUUCGAGAGGAGUGGAGAAAGAAAGACAGAAAAUAAGGCUGGUUGUAUUAAGGGUUUCCAUCCUGGAAGAAAUUAAAGAACAAAUCUGCUGUUGCUAAUUACUUGUAUAUUAUUUUAAAAUGUCUGCUUAUUAAAACUGCCAAUCAUCCAGAACUCAAGAGAAAGAGGGGAUAAAAAGCUGGUACAGUUCUAAUGAUGGUACCAGUUCUAAUGGUACAGCCCUAAUGAUGGCAGAGCACUGCUGCUCUCAUCCAAAGGGGAGAGGGUGAUUUUUGCAAAUCUCUCCCUUCCCUCAGCAGAUACCCUCAACAUAUCCCAGGCAGUUUCCAAGAGCCUUCCAUCCCCAGGUGCCUUGUUUUAUGGAGUGCAGCACAAUAAUAGAAAGUGGGAGGUGAAGAUCCGUUCUGCAAGUGAAGCUUCAGAAGUGGUCCUUUGAAUCCAGUCCAUGAUUGUGAAGGGUUAUAAUAAUAAUUUUUUGGCAUACUUCCUUUUCUUGUUGUGUACUAAGGGUUAUAAAGGGCCUUCUUAAUUUAGUCUGUCACAAAGAACCUAUCUUGCACCAGUUAUUUGACUGGACUUACCUAAAAGCCAGCGAUGAUGAUAAUAGUGUUUAUAUAGUACUGUUCCUAACAACACUGAGAGUUUUAUUGACAUUAACAUAGUAAUCCUUACAACAGCCAUAUGAGGUAGGAUAGUACUAUUAUCCUCAUAUUACAGAUUGGGGGCCAGCUUGCUUAAUGCCUCAUAGUAAUAACUGAGAUAAGACUUUAACCAAGGAUCUCCCAAAGAUCAUAACAUCUUAAUAUUUCACAGGCUUAAAAUCUGUGUAAGUUACUCACUUCAGUAAGUUUCUGCUGCCAUUUAUGUAUUCUAUUGAAUUUUCAGGUACAGAAACAUGAGGGAGAUCUCCAGGGAUUCUUGUACCAGGGUCUUCUCUACACUGAUAGUACAGUUGUUUCUGUAAGAAGGGCUUCUGUCAUGUUUCUAGGUUUCCUGGUAUUACAUAUGGACUACAGGGCAGGAGAUGUAGAGCUGAAUGUGAUAAUAAAUUGUAAGUAAAUGGAAAAAAUAUUUAGAUCCUUGUAUUGGUAAGUAAUAGUAAAAGAGAACACAGAAGAAAGGCAGUAACACUUAGUGCAUUCCUAUGCAGUUAUUCCAGUCUAAGCUCAUUAAUUUCAGUGGGUUUAGACUUGAGUAACUGCAUGUGGUUGCACUUAAGAUACUCUGCUGCUAUAGGAUGCAUACAUUUGCCCCUGAAAAUACUUAAAUUAGAAGAAAUUAUGUUAAACUUAUAACUACUGCCUUCUAUAUCCAAUGAAUGUAUAGCCUGAACACCUCAACCAAAUAUGAGCAAGUUGCCCCACAAUUCUACAAGAUUUAACAAGCCGUACCACACAACUUGCAAUAUUAUGCUAGGUUCAUAUAUGAUCCUACUUAACCUAAAGCACCAGAAUAUUUCACAUAGGCCAAUAAAUAUCACCCCCAAAUCCUUUGUGAUUCACAUGUAUGUACAACAUAUAGCAGCAUCUGUUGUGAAGGCUGUUUGUAUCUCCUGGCAGUACAGAAGACUGUCACCCACUUAUCUUGCUGAGAUGCUGAUACGUACAGCUGUAUGGUAAUAAUGUACUUUAAGUAGAGCGUAAUGUAUAUAAUGCAUUAUAUAAUGCAUAUAACACGAAUUAUAUAAUCAAAUGGUAAUUCACUCUUCCUUAGUGUCCCUCAAUAAAACUAAAAACAGUACUCCUGUGCUUUCAAGAAAGAGUAGGAGAUAGGGUCAAAAAUACAUCACAGUAUUGUGUGGAAAUAACUAAUUUUCCAAGAUUCUGUCAAAAAUGUAAGUGAUUUUAUGGCUUUGUUUACUUAGGGUGCCAGUUUCCCCAAAAUGCAAAGGAAAGUUUAGCAGGAUGAUUAUUCUAUAAUGUAUUAGCAGGAAACUGAACUGUAAUGAGAGCUACAAAUUCUCAUGGUCACAACAGUGCUGUUCAUGAAAUCUGGUUGGACAAUAUUAUAGGAAUUUCAUGUUUGUUUUUUUAAAAAAAAAGCAAAUUGUGGCCUUCCAAGUUGCAGUAAAGGUAUUAAAAAUGCAACAGAUUGGUAACUAUUAUUUGAGGCCAUUUUUGGGGGGGUUACUCAUUCAGGACAAUUGACUUGUGCCUCCCCUCUCUUCCCCUUUUCUCAAACACACAGAUUUUCCAGGAUUCCUGCAUCCCAUUUCUUCACCACACCAGUCCUUGAUAGCAAAUGCCAUAAAUGGUAACAGGCCUUCCCUGUUCUCAAAUUUUUGAAGCUUAAAGGAGGUACACAAAAAGUAUAUGCAUACAAUGAAGACGGGAUUAUUUUCUGUAACAGAUGGUUUAAAAAAAAUAUAUCCACUCCCCUUCUAGAUGUUUGUGAUAUUUUGUAUUCAUGGUGGCUCCAAUUAGAGUCCCUGAUAAUUUAUGACUGGAUUAUUCCCUUUCAUACGCAGCUCUUGAAUGUCUGAUGCAUGACUCUGAGGAAUCUGUGUGCAUAGCUGCAGCUCAGGCCCAUGAACGUGUUUCUGCAGUUCUCUCCAAACAGAAGCAUGGACUAGAUGAACACAACUCAAUAGCGGCCAGUGACACUGCUGAAAAGCCUGUCAGGAAUUCCAAGCACUGUAAUGCCACUGCUACCAGGAGCAGUUCCUCCCAUUUUUUUGCUGUCACUGACCUCUGGAAAUCAGCCAAUAAAAAUUAACAUCUGGCCCAAGGAAGCUUGACAUACAGCUCUUCAAAAUAACCAAAGAAUUGUGAAUGUCAGUUUUCUUGCACUGAAUCUCAGCAAGUAAAACAAAUCCACAAAAGGAAUCACCAAGUUUCCUGGUUACUGGACUAUGAAAAAACACGGGUUCCUACAAAUUGCAUCCAGUUGGGCUUCUUCUUGCCAGAUCAGCUUACAAAGGGCCUUUUAACACCGUUUUUAGAUUAUGUGCAUUAGUCCUACAAGUCCCCUUUUUAAUGGCAAUAUAUCCUGUGUAAUAGAUAGGGAAACUGUCUUGGGGGGGUGGGGUGCAGGAAGAAAUGUGCUGUUCUCUUUUCUCCUCCAUCUCCCUCUUGUAGUUUUUUGUGUGCACACAAGAAAUGGGGAUGGAAAGCUUCCAAAGAAUUGUUAAUAAUUUUAUUUAUUUUUAAAUUAAGAAAAGAUUUAGUAAACUACACCAUCAAAAAAACAGAAAAGAAACAAAAACAUACCGACUAAGUACACUGUCAAAGGAUUUACCCAUUACAUACUGUUCAAUUGACAAAAUCAAGAAUAUUAACACUGAGUGGUCUUAAUUUUACUUCUACCUACUCUGUUGCCCGUUCCAUCUUAUGUACAACUCCUGACCAUAAUGAGUCCAAUCUGGAUAUAUCACUGUUUUGAUGGAAAGCCAUUAAUUUCAUCAUAAUUUAGAUCUCUUUUACUUUCAACAGCCUAUCUUGAAUCUUGGGGAUUUUUGCUUCCUGUUCCUGUCAAAUUCCACUCUGUAAGGCUACCAUGUGAGAGUCUCUAGGGAAGUUGGGUACAUAAUUUAGCAAUAAUGUCUCUGAUCCCUGGCAGAUGUGGAAUAAGUAGAGCUGACACUGCUACCUGGAAUAAUAAAAGGACCACCUUUAAUUAAUUUUACAUCGAUCAAGAGAUCUGCUGACCUUCUCUGUACCUAGUCAUAGUGCUGGCCAUUGAUGGGAUGCAGAAGAUUUUCAAGUUGCAGCCAAUUUAUGUGACCCUGUAGGGUUUUCAAGAGAUGUUCAGAGGUGGUUUGCCAUUGCCUGCCUCUGCCUAAUGAUCCGGGAUUUCCUUGUUGGUCUCUCAUCCAAGUACUAAUCAAGGCCAACCACUGCUUAGCUUCAGAAAUCCAACAAGAUUGGGCUAGCCAUGGCCAUCCAGGUCAGGGGCCAUAUGUGGUGGUGGUGGAGAGUGCCAUCAAGUUAUAGCUGAUUUAUGGUGACUCCUGGUGGGAUUUUCAAGGCAAAAGACUAAAGGAUGUGGUUUCCCAUUGCCUGCUUCUGCAACCCUGGUCUUUGUUGGAGGUCUCCCAUCCAAUUACUAACCAAAGCCAACCCUGUUUAGCUUCUGAGAUCUGAGAGUGGGCUCAUCUAGGCUAUCCAAGCCUAUCCAGCUCAGGACCAGUGCCCGCUACAUAUUUCUUGACUGAACCAUUCAAGAUAUCAUUUUAUUUAUUUAUUUUAUUCAAUUUAUACCCCGCCCUCCCCAGAGGGGCUCAUAGGGGUAAGUGCAGGUAAUAUACGAAUCAGAGUAAGUAAGGGC